GACGAACGCGUGGCGGCGUGCCUUAACGACACUGGCGAAGUCGAACGGCUGAAGUGAUAGCUUGCUAGUUAUGGGAUAGGCCUAGUGGCAAACGGGUGAGUAACGCGUAGGCAACCUGCCCUUCAGAUGGGGACAACACUUCGAAAGAGGUGCUAAUACCGAAUGACGUAUCCAUUCCGCAUGGAUAGGAUACCAAAGGCCGGGCAACCGGUCACUGAAGGAUGGGCCUGCGUCUGAUUAGCUAGUUGGUGGGGUAACGGCUCACCAAGGCGACGAUCAGUAGCCGGUCUGAGAGGAUGAACGGCCACAUUGGGACUGAGACACGGCCCAA
Molecule: ribosomal RNA, 331 nt
Filed under: uncultured bacterium
Lineage: Bacteria
Description: bacterial SSU rRNA
Rfam family: Bacterial small subunit ribosomal RNA
Source: RNAcentral